Molecule: long non-coding RNA, 717 nt
Organism: Vicia villosa (hairy vetch)
Lineage: Eukaryota; Viridiplantae; Streptophyta; Magnoliopsida; Fabales; Fabaceae
Exons: 2
Source: RefSeq, a predicted model, not a curated record
UCAUAAGAUUUUAUCACACAGUGGACUAAAUUUUUGGGUUGAAAUCUUCUCAUGUAGGUCAUAACAAUUGUGAUUUCAUAUCAGGCCUCAUAAUGUCCAGAGAGGCAGGCAUUUACAAAAAUAAUUCUUGACCAUACAACUUAUGAUUUUUGAAAAAUAUUUGAAGUGAAAUGACAUAGCAGUUUUCGUCGUAUAUUCUUUCCUUAAAUUUGAGGCAACCAGUGGAUGUUGUAGGUUCGACGGAAAGGUUCUCAAAGCUCACUCUUACAUAUUCCCAAAUUUCAGAGUCUUGGCCGGCCAUACUGCAAAGGCAACAUAUGUGGCUCAACAAUAGCUUCAUAAGCGUGAUGCAUUAUUGAUUAUGUGCGCUUCAAGCCUGAUGCAGAAGCCAUGGAAUUGAAGAUAUAGUAUAUUUGGUUGUUGCUAUGAAGAACGUCACACCAAUUGGAUUGACACAUUUAGUAUGCAUGGGGUGCAUGUGCGAUUUGACCUAAAGUGUCCUAUGUGUUUACAGUUGUGUGGAAAUCGGUUCUAAGUGUCUUGUACAAAUUUGUUUGGCGACUCUGAAGAAUGUCUUGUACUAGUUAAAGCAGUCACCUUGUGUUUGGUUUGUAAAAUUCAUAAAAGCUACGGUGUACUUUGGGUAUAAAGUUAAGGAGAUCACAAUUUAUUCUUCAAACAUUGAUAAGAAAGUAAAUUAAAUGCAUUUCUUGUUUA